RNAcentral lists this long non-coding RNA (563 nucleotides) under Phoenix dactylifera (date palm). Its description in RNAcentral is "long non-coding RNA (PDAC_LNC012874)". The record is from RNAcentral. Lineage: Eukaryota; Viridiplantae; Streptophyta; Magnoliopsida; Arecales; Arecaceae.
GUCAAUUCAUAUAAUAACAUAAAAUAUAAAUACAAAUUACGAUGAAUCAACAUAAUAACAUAAUCAAUUCCUUUUCAAGCACAAAUUCAUUGAAAUCCGUAUCUUUCAAAUAUCCACAUACAUAAUCAUAAAUCUGAUUCGAAACAAAUCACAUUCAUCUCAUCAGCCUUUAGCUACGACAACACUUAUACCCUAUGGCUAGGCCAGAAACAGAACCGCACUUAUACCCUGCGGAGUGGGCUAGAAUACCGUACUUAUACCAUGUGGAGUGGGCCAGAAUACCACACUUAUACCAUGUGGUGGGGCCAGAAUUGCCAAUGCAUAACCUCCUAUUGGCAGGGUCCAGAACAUAGCCAGGUUGAGAGUUCUAAAUCUGAUGCACAUCAAAAUUCUUUUGUAACAUAAUAGAUAUAUCAUAAUCCGAUCUAAAUAUGCAUAUACGAUGCAAGAACAGUAAUAUAACAAUAGUCCGAAAAAAUAUUAUUCCAAUUCACAUAUCUAUUUUUCAUUCAAAGCAUCAUCUCGUAAAAUUCAUAAAUCAUAUAUAAAUUCAUUAACAAUUU